CCAGACUCCUACGGGAGGCAGCAGUGGGGGAUAUUGCACAAUGGGGGGAACCCUGAUGCAGCGACGCCGCGUGGGUGAAGGAGCGUUUCGGCAUGUAAAGCCCUAUCGGCAGGGAAGAAGCAAGACGGUACCUGACUAAGAAGCCCCGGCUAACUACGUGCCAGCAGCCGCGGUAAUACGUAGGGGGCGAGCGUUAUCCGGAUUCACUGGGUGUAAAGGGAGCGUAGACGGCCAUGCAAGCCAGGGGUGAAAGCCCGGGGCCCAACCCCGGGACUGCCCUUGGAACUGCAUGGCUGGAGUGCGGGAGGGGCAGGCGGAAUUCCUGGUGUAGCGGUGAAAUGCGUAGAUAUCAGGAGGAACACCGGCGGCGAAGGCGGCCUGCUGGACUGCGACUGACGUUGAGGCUCGAAAGCGUGGGGAGCGAACAGGAUUAGAUACCCUGGUAGCA
This 448-nucleotide ribosomal RNA is filed under the name uncultured bacterium. RNAcentral describes it as "partial 16S ribosomal RNA". It matches the Rfam family "Bacterial small subunit ribosomal RNA", at positions 331 to 795 of the family's 1533-position model. The record is from RNAcentral.